Molecule: ribosomal RNA, 440 nt
Filed under: uncultured bacterium
Lineage: Bacteria
Description: partial 16S ribosomal RNA
Rfam family: Bacterial small subunit ribosomal RNA
Source: RNAcentral
CCUACGGGAGGCUACAGUGGGGAAUAUUGCACAAUGGGGGAAACCCUGAUGCAGCGACGCCGCGUGAGUGAAGAAGUAAUUCGUUAUGUAAAGCUCUAUUAGCAGGGAAGAAAAUGACGGUACCUGAGUAAGAAGCCCCGGCUAACUACGUGCCAGCAGCCGCGGUAAUACGUAGGGGGCAAGCGUUAUCCGGAUUUACUGGGUGUAAAGGGAGCGUAGACGGCAGUGCAAGUCUGGAGUGAAAGGCGGGGGCUCAACCCCCGGACUGCUCUGGAAACUGUACGGCUUGAGUGCAGGAGAGGUAAGUGGAAUUCCGAGUGUAGCGGUGAAAUGCGUAGAUAUUAGGAGGAACACCAGUGGCGAAGGCGGCUUACUGGACUGUAACUGACGUUGAGGCUCGAAAGCGUGGGGAGCAAACAGGAUUAGAUACCCUAGUAGUC